RNAcentral lists this non-coding RNA (30 nucleotides) under Homo sapiens (human). Lineage: Eukaryota; Metazoa; Chordata; Mammalia; Primates; Hominidae. The record is from RNAcentral.
UUUCAGCCAGAGCGCCCAAAGAACUCGUGU